AGCCACAGCCAUAUCACCCUGCAGCCCAAGACCGGUUACUCACUGAAGCUAAGCAGGGCUGAGCCUGGUCAGUAUCUGGAUGGGAGCCACAUGGGAAAACUAGGCUGCUGUUGGAA
Molecule: ribosomal RNA, 116 nt
Filed under: Danio rerio (zebrafish)
Lineage: Eukaryota; Metazoa; Chordata; Actinopteri; Cypriniformes; Danionidae
Source: RNAcentral